RNAcentral lists this ribosomal RNA (503 nucleotides) under uncultured bacterium. Its description in RNAcentral is "bacterial SSU rRNA". It matches the Rfam family "Bacterial small subunit ribosomal RNA", at positions 353 to 871 of the family's 1533-position model. The record is from RNAcentral.
AGUGGGGAAUAUUGGGCAAUGGGCGAAAGCCUGACCCAGCAACGCCGCGUGAGGGAAGAAGGUCUUCGGAUUGUAAACCUUUGUCCUAUGGGACGAAACAAAUGACGGUACCAUAGGAGGAAGCUCCGGCUAACUACGUGCCAGCAGCCGCGGUAAUACGUAGGGAGCAAGCGUUGUCCGGAAUUACUGGGCGUAAAGGGUGCGUAGGUGGCCAAAUAAGUCAGGUGUGAAAGACCGGGGCUCAACCCCGGGGUUGCACUUGAAACUGUAUGGCUUGAGUACAGGAGAGGGAAGUGGAAUUCCUAGUGUAGCGGUGAAAUGCGUAGAUAUUAGGAGGAACACCAGUGGCGAAGGCGACUUUCUGGACUGUAACUGACACUGAGGCACGAAAGCGUGGGGAGCAAACAGGAUUAGAUACCCUGGUAGUCCACGCCGUAAACGAUGGAUACUAGGUGUGGGGCCCGAUAGGGUUCCGUGCCGAAGCAAACGCAUUAAGUAUCCCG